Molecule: ribosomal RNA, 497 nt
Filed under: uncultured bacterium
Lineage: Bacteria
Description: partial 16S ribosomal RNA
Rfam family: Bacterial small subunit ribosomal RNA
Source: RNAcentral
GAUGAACGCUGGCGGCGUGCCUAAUACAUGCAAGUCGAGCGAACGGACGAGAUGCUUGCUUCUCUGAUGUUAGCGGCGGACGGGUGAGUAACACGUGGAUAACCUACCUAUAAGACUGGGAUAACUUCGGGAAACCGGAGCUAAUACCGGAUAAUAUUUUGAACCGCAUGGUUCAAAAGUGAAAGACGGUCUUGCUGUAACUUAUAGAUGGAUCCGCGCGUCAUUAGCUAUUUGGUAAGGUAACGGCUUACCAAGGCAACGAUGCAUAGCCGACCUGAGAGGGUGAUCGCCCACUCUGGAACGAGAACACGGUCCAGACUCCUACGGGAGGCAGCAGAAGGGAAUCUUCCGCAAGGGGGGAAAGCCUGACGGGGCAACGCGGCGUGAGUGAUAAGGGUCUUCGGAUCGUAAAACUCUGUUAUUAGGGAAGAACAUAGGUGUAAGGAACUGUGCACAUCGUGACGGUACCUAAUCAGAAAGCCACGGCUAACUACGUG